AUCGGCACUGGGUAACAAUGAAUGUUCCACUAUGGAAAUAUUAAUAUCAUUGUUAUCCAGUGCCGUGUA
This 69-nucleotide microRNA precursor is filed under the name Triops cancriformis. RNAcentral describes it as "microRNA tcf-mir-10299 precursor". The record is from miRBase by way of RNAcentral. Lineage: Eukaryota; Metazoa; Arthropoda; Branchiopoda; Notostraca; Triopsidae.